CACCAGGCGCGAAAACUUUACAAUGCGGGAAACCGUGAUAAGGGAACUCCGAGUGCCCGUAAAAUCGGGCUGUCCAUCUGUUUAAAUAACAGGUGAAGAAAGGGCCGGGCAAGACCGGUGCCAGCCGCCGCGGUAAUACCGGCGGCUCGAGUGGUGGCCACUAUUACUGGGCUUAUAGCGUUCGUAGCUGGUCUGUUAAGUCUCUGGGGAAAUCUACUGGCUUAACCAAUAGGCGUUUCAGGGAUACUGGCAGACUAGGGACCGGGAGAGGUGAGGGGUACUCCAGGGGUAGGAGUGAAAUCCUGUAAUCCUUGGGGGACCACCUGUGGCGAAGGCGCCUCACCAGAACGGCUCCGACAGUGAGGGACGAAAGCUGGGGGAGCAAACCGGAUUAGAUACCCGGGUAGUCCCAGCCGUAAACGAUGCGCGUUAGGUGUAUCGGUGACCACGAGUCACCGAGGUGCCGAAGAGAAAUCGUGAAACGUGCCGCCUGGGAAGUACGGUCGCAAGGCUGAAACUUAAAGGAAUUGGCGGGGGAGCAC
Molecule: ribosomal RNA, 542 nt
Filed under: uncultured archaeon
Lineage: Archaea
Description: bacterial SSU rRNA
Rfam family: Archaeal small subunit ribosomal RNA
Source: RNAcentral